RNAcentral lists this ribosomal RNA (259 nucleotides) under uncultured bacterium. Its description in RNAcentral is "partial 16S ribosomal RNA". It matches the Rfam family "Bacterial small subunit ribosomal RNA", at positions 793 to 1055 of the family's 1533-position model. The record is from RNAcentral.
GUCCACGCCCUAACGAUGUUUACUUGCUGUUCCUGUCUUGAACGGGAGUGGCGAAGCGAAAGCGCUAAGUAACCACCUGGGGAGUACGCCGGCAACGGUGAAACUCAAAGGAAUUGACGGGGUCCGCACAAGCGGUGGAGCAUGUGGUUUAAUUCGAUGAUACGCGAGGAACCUUACCUGGGCUAGAAUGCGUGGAGAAGCGAUCUGAAAGGUGAAGCCGCCCUUCGGGGCUUCAUGCAAGGUGCUGCAUGGCUGUCGU